AAUGAAGUGCCUGAAAUUUAUAAAGGAUUAUUAUGAUAUAAUAAAUAAUGUAAUUAUUAAUAUUUACCUUCAUUA
RNAcentral lists this transfer RNA (75 nucleotides) under Allacta bruna. RNAcentral describes it as "tRNA-Ile". The record is from RNAcentral. Lineage: Eukaryota; Metazoa; Arthropoda; Insecta; Blattodea; Pseudophyllodromiidae.